CAUUCCAAGAAUUCCUCCAUAGGUAAUAACCACAAUCACCACGUGGCAACUAACUCCACCCCAUGAACAGCAAUCCGUGCUUUCAUUCCAAGAAUUCCUCCAUAGGUAAUAACCACAAUCAUCAUACACAGAAAUAGUAUUUUUGAAUUCGAGCAAGGCAGCUCUCUGUGCUGGGAGGCAUAAGUGAGCUGAAGGAAGAAAAGAGGAAGGGGAACUCGAUGAGAAAUGGACCUGGAAAUGCAAGAGCGUUAAAAGCAGGCAAAGGAUUUGGUACAACAUCCUAAUUACCUUUCCCAUAUUUUCUCGAGACAAAAGGAAAGUAUGAAACAAGGGUCGUCGAAAAAGGGCAAGUUAUGGAGGUGUACUUAAAAAUGAGUUGUGGCUGAGGCAGGCGGAGGGACAUAAAAAUAGAAGAAGCGGUGGACAAGUGGAGACAUCUGUUUUUC
RNAcentral lists this long non-coding RNA (446 nucleotides) under Theobroma cacao (cacao). RNAcentral describes it as "long non-coding RNA (TCAC_LNC004295)". Lineage: Eukaryota; Viridiplantae; Streptophyta; Magnoliopsida; Malvales; Malvaceae. The record is from RNAcentral.